AUACGGGGGGGGCUAGCGUUGUUCGGAUUUAUUGGGCGUAAAGGGCGCGUAGGCGGUUCGGUAAGUCAACCGUGAAAUCCCUCGGCUCAACCGAGGAACUGCGAUUGAUACUGCCGGGCUUGAGUCCCGGAGAGGAUGGCGGAAUUCCCAGUGUAGCGGUGAAAUGCGUAGAUACUGGGAGGAACACCGGUGGCGAAGGCGGCCUUCUGGGCCCAUCCUGACGCUGAGGCGCGAAAGCGUGGGGAGCAAACCGGAUUAGAAACCCCAGUAGUCC
This 274-nucleotide ribosomal RNA is filed under the name uncultured bacterium. RNAcentral describes it as "partial 16S ribosomal RNA". It matches the Rfam family "Bacterial small subunit ribosomal RNA", at positions 523 to 796 of the family's 1533-position model. The record is from RNAcentral.